CCUACGGGAGGCUGCAGUGAGGAAUAUUGGUCAAUGGACGCAAGUCUGAACCAGCCAUGCCGCGUGCAGGAAGACGGCUCUAUGAGUUGUAAACUGCUUUUGUACGAGGGUAAACGCAGAUACGCGUAUCUUUCUGAAAGUAUCCUACGAAUAAGGAUCGGCUAACUCCGUGCCAGCAGCCGCGGUAAUACGGAGGAUUCAAGCGUUAUCCGGAUUUAUUGGGUUUAAAGGGUGCGUAGGCGGUCGGAUAAGUUAGAGGUUAAAUUCAGAGGCUCAACCUCGGAAGUGCCGCUGAUACUGUUCGGCUAAAGAGAAGUUGCAGUAGGCGGAAUGUGUGGUGUAGCGGUGAAAUGCUUAGAGAUCAUACAGAACACCGAUUGCGAAGGCAGCUUACCAGGCUACUACUGACGUUGAGGCACGAAAGCGUGGGGAGCGAACAGGAUUAGAUACCCUUGUAGUC
This 460-nucleotide ribosomal RNA is filed under the name uncultured bacterium. RNAcentral describes it as "partial 16S ribosomal RNA". It matches the Rfam family "Bacterial small subunit ribosomal RNA", at positions 338 to 795 of the family's 1533-position model. The record is from RNAcentral.